GGCAGUUUUUGGCUGAUGCACCCUGCAAUCGGGCUCCCUCCUUUCUGGUUCUGGGUGCAUCACCCAAGAACCGCA
Molecule: non-coding RNA, 75 nt
Organism: Myotis davidii
Lineage: Eukaryota; Metazoa; Chordata; Mammalia; Chiroptera; Vespertilionidae
Source: Rfam